AAAUCGCAUCAAAUUUAUCGGUCAAUUAUGAAUGCGCCUAGUGGGAGAUGGCAGAUUGGGACACGCUGCUGAUGGACCAUACAACGCUAUACCGUUGGAGCAGCGGCCGACACUUUGCCGCAAGAGCUGACAGACCAACUAGCUCCAGGAGGUCGACUGAUAUGCCCGGUCGUAGCUAUAGAAGGUUUCCAAAGGUUUCAAGAUCUACUGCAAGU
This is a non-coding RNA of Nylanderia fulva, 215 nucleotides long. The record is from RefSeq and is a predicted model, not a curated record. NCBI's taxonomy places the organism in Eukaryota, Metazoa, Arthropoda, Insecta, Hymenoptera, Formicidae.